UACGAAGGGGGCUAGCGUUGCUCGGAUUUACUGGGCGUAAAGGGCGCGUAGGCGGCCACCGCAAGUCGACUGUGAAAUCUCCGGGCUUAACCCGGAAAGGUCAGCCGAUACUGCGGGGCUAGAGUGCAGAAGGGGCAACUGGAAUUCUCGGUGUAGCGGUGAAAUGCGUAGAUAUCGAGAGGAACACCUGCGGCGAAGGCGGGUUGCUGGGCUGACACUGACGCUGAGGCGCGAAAGCUAGGGUAGCAAACGGG
This 254-nucleotide ribosomal RNA is filed under the name uncultured bacterium. RNAcentral describes it as "partial 16S ribosomal RNA". It matches the Rfam family "Bacterial small subunit ribosomal RNA", at positions 524 to 776 of the family's 1533-position model. The record is from RNAcentral.